RNAcentral lists this ribosomal RNA (497 nucleotides) under uncultured bacterium. Its description in RNAcentral is "partial 16S ribosomal RNA". It matches the Rfam family "Bacterial small subunit ribosomal RNA", at positions 28 to 507 of the family's 1533-position model. The record is from RNAcentral.
GAAGAACGCUGGCGGCGUGCCUAAUACAUGCAAGUCGAGCGAACAGAUAAGGAGCUUGCUCCUUUGACGUUAGCGGCGGACGGGUGAGUAACACGUGGGUAACCUACCUAUAAGACUGGAAUAACUCCGGGAAACCGGGGCUAAUGCCGGAUAACAUUUAGAACCGCAUGGUUCUAAAGUGAAAGAUGGUUUUGCUAUCACUUAUAGAUGGACCCGCGCCGUAUUAGCUAGUUGGUAAGGUAACGGCUUACCAAGGCAACGAUACGUAGCCGACCUGAGAGGGUGAUCGGCCACACUGGAACUGAGACACGGUCCAGACUCCUACGGGAGGCAGCAGUAGGGAAUCUUCCGCAAUGGGCGAAAGCCUGACGGAGCAACGCCGCGUGAGUGAUGAAGGUCUUCGGAUCGUAAAACUCUGUUAUUAGGGAAGAACAAAUGUGUAAGUAACUGUGCACGUCUUGACGGUACCUAAUCAGAAAGCCACGGCUAACUACGUG